RNAcentral lists this ribosomal RNA (570 nucleotides) under Triticum aestivum (bread wheat). Its description in RNAcentral is "partial small subunit ribosomal RNA". The record is from RNAcentral. Lineage: Eukaryota; Viridiplantae; Streptophyta; Magnoliopsida; Poales; Poaceae.
AUGGUGCUCAAGGGUGUACGUGCAUUACCCAUGACGACAAUAGUUCAAUACACAUUUGACAAGAUGAAUGCAUACUUUCUAAAAUACUGAAUGGAAACGGAUGUUGCGUAGAUUGUGGGUGAGAACAAUCUCAAGUACAAGUACAAGUUCCCACCCAAGGUUGAUGAAUGGUUGGAAUUUCAAUCAUGGAAGGCGGACUCCCAAGAAGCUAUACUAUAUAACAACGACGAUUGGUUGUACGAAGUGAAGGAACCAGGAGGAACCACAAACGAUGGCCGCCAACAUGGAGGUCGGGCUUUCAAGGUCUCCCUAAUACGGGAUUGCUCUUGUGGGAGGCCAUUGUUGCUUCAUCUCCCAUGCUCACACUUGUAUACCGCAUCUCGCCUUAGGAAUGUGGGUGUCAAUCACCCGCUCACCGUGAGGGGGUCAAAGUUACCUAAUCUAUUUCCGGCGCCAUACGGCUCCCAUUCCACCUGCAACAUAGCAUACAACAAGGCAACAUUGAUGUUGAGUUUCCAUAAAAGCGUGACAAUAAGUGAUGCAACGUCAAGGUUACCUGCUCAGCCAUAA